UACGGGGGGAGCAAGCGUUGUUCGGAUUUACUGGGCGUAAAGGGCGCGUAGGCGGCCAGCACAAGUCAGUUGUGAAAUCUCCGAGCUUAACUCGGAACGGUCAACUGAUACUGUGCAGCUAGAGUGCGGAAGGGGCAACUGGAAUUCUUGGUGUAGCGGUGAAAUGCGUAGAUAUCAAGAGGAACACCUGCGGCGAAGGCGGGUUGCUGGGCCGACACUGACGCUGAUGCGCGAAAGCCAGGGGAGCGAACGGG
RNAcentral lists this ribosomal RNA (254 nucleotides) under uncultured bacterium. RNAcentral describes it as "partial 16S ribosomal RNA". It matches the Rfam family "Bacterial small subunit ribosomal RNA", at positions 524 to 776 of the family's 1533-position model. The record is from RNAcentral.